UGAGCAUCUGUGACCUAUACAAUAUGACCUGUGACGUGUGAACUAUAAUUUGUGACCAAUUAAUAGUGACCUAUGAAUAUAAAUCUGUGAUAUGUGACAUGUAACAAGUACACAGAGACAUGUAACAUGUUAUCAGUUUACAUGUUCCAGAUCAUUGUAUACAAGACACUGGUCAUUGCAUCAAUUCACAAAUUAUUUACUUUAUUGGUCACAAAUUAUUGUUGGUCAUAGAUUAACGAAAUUUAUUGGUCACAAACCGUGUCUAUACAACCCAAACCAAUCCAAACCCAGCAACACAACCAGAACCUACACCAUUACCACUAGAACCACUAUUGUCAUUGCCAACACGACCACAGCAUAUCAUAUCAAAAAAUCACCCACAAAAAACCACCAACAAACCACCCACAAUAAACAAGAUAUUCAAACAAGAUAAAUAACAGACACAAAAUAGGAAAACACCAACACCAAAUAACUACAGUAACUGGAGACUCGCCAUUAUAACUACUACAAUAUCCACAUCAAAUCUAAAACCAAUAUCACAACCUCUAUAUCAAAUCCAAACCAAUCACCACCAACCCACCAUCACUGCAUUUUUUUCCCUACUAAAUUAACCAAUCUCAACAACUAAAGGCUGAGACUCGCCAACGAAGGCAGAGUUAAAAUGAAUAAAGAAAUGAAAAAUAGAUGCAAUAGGGACCAGUGGUGCUUUAAGGUGGGAAGACUAGUGACUGGGGGAUGGAUUCUCCUGGCCAACGAAUGAGGAUUUGGCGCGAUCAAAGGAUGAAGUCGAUGGUGGACAAAUGCUGUAGAUGGCGAUCUUAGAGCAAUUGCUAUAGGGCGCAGGCUUCGGGGCAGAGAUAUGCGGGAAACUUGUUGAUGAUUCGAUGAUUCAGUAGGAUACCAAUGAAAUUGAUAGGUCGCCGAAGUGAAAUGCAGUAGUGGUCAACGGAGUGAGAAUGGUGGGUUGCGACAGACAAUGGGUGAAGAUGGAAAAGUAGACUUCCAGCGGAAAUAGUGGUGGCGAUGGACAGAGGAUGAAGAUGGAGAGGGGUUGGAUUGUGGAUAUGUGAGUUCAAUUGGGGAAGAAAUCGAUUAAAUGAUAGGUAGGGUCGUGUGAGGUGAGUAAGGGGUAUAUUAUAGACUUAAUUUUUGAAUGAAUAAAGAUAAUUUCUGAUUUUUGAAUUGGAAAUUCAAAAAACAGGUCCCAUGUAAUUUCCACAAAAACAAAUGUAGCCAAGCUAAAAAAUCUAGCCCUUUCUAGUUCAAAUCCAAUCAAAAUUUU
This 1282-nucleotide long non-coding RNA is filed under the name Olea europaea (common olive). Its description in RNAcentral is "long non-coding RNA (OEUR_LNC004207)". Lineage: Eukaryota; Viridiplantae; Streptophyta; Magnoliopsida; Lamiales; Oleaceae. The record is from RNAcentral.